CCUGGCGGCAAUAGCAAGUGAGAACCACCUGAUCCCAUCUCGAACUCAGAAGUGAAAUCGUUUAGCGCCAAUGGUAGUUUGGGGUCUCCCCAUGCGAGAGUAGGACACCGCCAGGC
This 116-nucleotide ribosomal RNA is filed under the name Gammaproteobacteria bacterium. Lineage: Bacteria; Pseudomonadati; Pseudomonadota; Gammaproteobacteria. The record is from RNAcentral.